GGGUGACGCAGGAAGGUAGCUGAUCCCGGCCGGUGGUUGUGCCGGGGUAAGCGUGUAGGCCGCACCAUAGGCAAAUCCGUGGUGCAUGAAGGCUGAGACGUGAUGCCGAGCCGAUUCAGGUGAAGUCAGUGAUCCUAUGCUGCCGAGAAAAGCCUCUAGCGAGUUCUUAGCGGCCCGUACCCCAAACCGACACAGGUGGUCAGGUAGAGAAUACCAAGGCGACGGGCGAACUGUGGUUAAGGAACUCGGCAAAUUACCCCCGUAACUUCGGGAGAAGGGGGGCCGGUCACGUGAAGCAACACGCUUGUGGAGCGUGGUAUGGCCGCAGAGACCAGGGGGAAGCGACUGUUUACUAAAAACACAGGUCCAUGCGAAGAAGUAAUUCGAUGUAUAUGGACUGACGCCUGCCCGGUGCUGGAACGUUAAGGGGACCUGUUAGCUCUUCGGGGCGAAGCGGAGAACUUAAGCGCCAGUAAACGGCGGUGGUAACUAUAACCAUCCUAAGGUAGCGAAAUUCCUUGUCGGGUAAGUUCCGACCUGCACGAAUGGCGUAACACUUCCCUACUGUCUCAACCACAGGCCCGGCGAAAUUGCAGUACGAGUAAAGAUGCUCGUUACGCGCGGCAGGACGGAAAGACCCCGGGACCUUUACUAUAGCUUGACAUUGGUAUCUGAGUUAAUUUGUGUAGGAUAGGUGGGAGCCUGUGAAGCUCGUACGCCAGUACGGGUGGAGGCAAUCUUGAAAUACCACUCUGGUUGAUUCGGGUAUCUAACUUCGGACCGUGAUCCGGUUCAGGGACAGUGUCUGGUGGGUAGUUUAACUGGGGCGGUUGCCUCCUAAAGAGUAACGGGGGCGCCCAAAGGUUCCCUCAGCCUGGUUGGCAAUCAGGUGUUGAGUGUAAGUGCACAAGGGAGCUUGACUGUGAGACUGACAGGUCGAGCAGGGACGAAAGUCGGAACUAGUGAUCCGGCACCGGCAUGUGGAAGCGGUGUCGCUCAACGGAUAAAAGGUACCCCGGGGAUAACAGGCUGAUCUUCCCCAAGAGUCCAUAUCGACGGGAUGGUUUGGCACCUCGAUGUCGGCUCGUCGCAUCCUGGGGCUGUAGCAGGUCCCAAGGGUUGGGCUGUUCGCCCAUUAAAGCGGUACGCGAGCUGGGUUUAGAACGUCGUGAGACAGUUCGGUCCCUAUCCGCCGUGCGCGUAGGAUACUUGAGAAGGGCUGUCCCUAGUACGAGAGGACCGGGACGGACGAACCUCUGGUGUGCCAGUUGUCCCGCCAGGGGCACGGCUGGUUAGCUACGUUCGGAAGGGAUAACCGCUGAAAGCAUCUAAGCGGGAAGCUCGCUUCAAGAUGAGGUAUCCCACCCACACUUGUGUGGGGUAAGGCCCCCAGCUAGACCACUGGGUUGAUAGGCAGGAAAUGUAAGCCCGGUAACGGGUCCAGUUGACCUGUACUAAUAGGUCGAGGACUUGACCUA
Molecule: ribosomal RNA, 1478 nt
Filed under: metagenome
Description: bacterial LSU rRNA
Rfam family: Bacterial large subunit ribosomal RNA
Source: RNAcentral